Molecule: long non-coding RNA, 2364 nt
Organism: Empidonax traillii (willow flycatcher)
Lineage: Eukaryota; Metazoa; Chordata; Aves; Passeriformes; Tyrannidae
Exons: 3
Source: RefSeq, a predicted model, not a curated record
GAGCUUUAUUUGGCAGUGCUAAAAAAACCUGGGGACAAAUGGCUAAGCGGCGGUGGAAGUGCAGGCUGCACAAUCAAUAGGCAGAGAGCUGGAUAGAGGCUCCCUUUGCUGCCGGAUCGACAAUCGACAGCUGAGAGACUAUUUUUUGCAAUGGUUGACUAAAUAUGGUCAGGGAAGAGAGAGGCACAAGAGAGCCUGUUUGCCUGGGAGUGCAUGUUUCAAAUGCUUAGCUGCCUAUAAAGCCGUAACAGUUUUGCUCGUGCCCUCUAAGUGGGAAAUACGGUUAGUGUCUUCUGUAGUGUGUCUGCGGGAGCCCUGACCUCGCUAGCAGACUUGACCUCUGAAGAUGGAAAGUAGCUUCAACACAGACCUGCCUACAGUUAAGCCUGGAAACAUAACCUCAAGCAAGAAAAGAUGCAGUGCAAUAUCUAAGGAACUAGAAGAAACCAAUAUUUGCCGGGGGAGGGGGGAAACGAUCGCUAUUUUUUUGGUGCCUUUUUUUAUUUUUUCUUUUGGAAGCAACUCCAACUUUUGGGGGCUUGGUUUUGGUCUUCUGUUGGGUUUUUAUUUUUCUUCUUGGCUGUGAUUAUUUUCAUCUGACAGUGGGCUAAGUUCACCUUCCCUUGGCUUCCUAGCAUCUAUCCUUGGAGUCUUAACUCUCAGUCCAGCAGACAUAAGUUUUAUCUAUUUAAGGUGGUGAGGUACUGUAUGCACCGACAUUCGCCCCCCCUUGCCUCCCCCUCCCAUGUAACGAAGAGCUGAUUCAGCGAAUAGAGUGAGAGAGCACUCAGGAUGAGAUGGCUGCUGCUGAUGUGUCUCUAGGUCAUUACCUCUCUUCCAACUGCAAAUGCUGCAUGAUACUAAGCUUACAGGACACUGAAGAGGCAAACAGUAUCCCAGCAUGAAAAUCUGCUAGAAGACCUGGGAGGAAGCUGAAGAUUUUUACACUGGACUACAACUAAAAAUUCCAAGAAAAGACACUGCAAAGCUACCAGCCAUUCAGCUCCUCUCCACUUAAACAUGAUUACUUAGAACAAACAGCAAGAGACUGAAAAAAUAUGGAAAAGCACUUCUGACACCAAUGCCAUCCCAAAAUAAUGAACUAUAACCAGCUUUAAGACACUAUGCAGGUAAAUUGCAUUGCAAAAUUCAGUUAGCAUAGUAAGUUUAUUUUCUAUCAUCAGUUAAUCAUAGCAUAGUUCUUCCAAAGAAUUGUCAUCCCGAGUUUUACCUAAUGACAGCAACAGAAUUCAGCAAAAUACUUUUCAGGUUCAUCUGACAGGCAGACAAGCAACUCUGUGUGUACCUGCUCAGAGCACAUACUUCUUUAUGUACCCAUAUGAACAUACAAUGCUAUGGAAUGUAAAGAAGUAUGUAUUUUUGGCAGGCAAGGAACGACCAGUAAGAGGAAACUAAACAGCUGCUGGAAGAAACAGGUUUCCCUCUUGUUUGAAUGACAUUCAUGUGACAAAUUGGCCUGCUAAGGCUCAGCUGGUAUUGCCAAAAUAACCCAUACUUGUUAGUAACAAAUCACAAAACAUUAAGUGACUAUAAAAGUGGCUAGGAAGAAUUGUUAACAGCUGAUAAGCAGAAUAUUAGUUGCAAACAGAAUUCAAAACAAGGCUGGAAAUGUAAUCUUGAAAUGCACCAAUUAAGACUGCAGCAUAGCUGCCUAACUUAUUACCAGUACUCCUCACUUAAUAGAUCCUAAAGUAAACUUAAAAGACUGAUUAUCAAAAUGUAUCUCAUCAAAAACAAGCCACUGUUCUAGUAAUUACAGCCUGUUCUGUGUAUUUCAGAUGGUAGUACCUAAAUUUGCAUCUACCAUAGAAUAUUUACUCCACAGGUUGCAACUGAGACAAGUAUUAACAGCUAAGAAAUUACAGCUGUGAUUUAGAGAAAAUAAUUGCCAAAAUAACUGAGUUUAAUAACUUCUGCAAUUCAAUAAGACUUAAGUUAGAAUUUUCUCCAAAUCAGCACUUAUUAUGCUCACUGAGCUCUUCGAUACAAAGUGCAGUGUCAGGUUUAGCACAGAAAGUGACAAUACAGAGAUUUCUAGGUCACAGUUGCUAGUCAGCGGAUUAAAGCUAUUGAUAGAUUCCUAAAUGAAAACACAAAUGACAACUACAACCUCAAAGGUAAGUUUUCUUAAACACUAUUUUCAAAUAAGCUGUAUUUAUUUUAAAUUCAAAUUUAAGAAAACUGGCCUUGAAAAUAUGACUUCAUAGCAUCCAGAAAAUUUUAAGAACUACAUCAGAAAUAGUUCAGCAUCUGUUUCAAGUUCUAAAAGCGGUAUUAAUUAAAACAUACGGGUGCAUACUAUCCCUAAGUAAAGACACUCAACAUCAAAUUCAGGAACAAGGG